RNAcentral lists this unclassified non-coding RNA (374 nucleotides) under uncultured Bryobacterales bacterium. Its description in RNAcentral is "contains 16S-23S intergenic spacer region". Lineage: Bacteria; Pseudomonadati; Acidobacteriota; Terriglobia; Bryobacterales. The record is from RNAcentral.
UCCAGCUUAUCGCUGGCGGUCUCCUGCGAGUUGCGCCUUGCGGCAUGCCAACACAGGACAAGGGUUGCGCUCGUUGCGGGACUUAACCCAACAUCUCACGACACGAGCUGACGACAGCCAUGCAGCACCUCCACGGCAGCCCCGAAGGGAAGCUCCAUCUCUGGAGCGGUCCACCGCAGUUCAAACCCAGGUAAGGUUCUUCGCGUUGCGUCGAAUUAAUCCACAUCAUCCACCGCUUGUGCGGGCCCCCGUCAAUUCCUUUGAGUUUCAGCCUUGCGACUGUACUCCCCAGGCGGCAUAUUUAACGCGUUAGCUCCGGCACGGACAGAAUGAACUGCCCACACCAAAUAUGCAUCGUUUAGGGCGUGGACUAC